Molecule: transfer RNA, 75 nt
Filed under: Crocuta crocuta (spotted hyena)
Lineage: Eukaryota; Metazoa; Chordata; Mammalia; Carnivora; Hyaenidae
Description: tRNA-Glu
Rfam family: tRNA
About the family: Transfer RNA (tRNA) molecules are approximately 80 nucleotides in length. Their secondary structure includes four short double-helical elements and three loops (D, anti-codon, and T loops). Further hydrogen bonds mediate the characteristic L-shaped molecular structure. tRNAs have two regions of fundamental functional importance: the anti-codon, which is responsible for specific mRNA codon recognition, and the 3' end, to which the tRNAs corresponding amino acid is attached (by aminoacyl-tRNA synthetases). tRNAs cope with the degeneracy of the genetic code in two manners: having more than one tRNA (with a specific anti-codon) for a particular amino acid; and 'wobble' base-pairing, i.e. permitting non-standard base-pairing at the 3rd anti-codon position.
Source: RNAcentral
GUUCUAGUUCUUAUAGUUGAAAUACAACGAUGGUUUUUCAUACCGUUAGUCAUGGUUAGAUUCCAUGUGGGAAUG